RNAcentral lists this ribosomal RNA (253 nucleotides) under uncultured bacterium. RNAcentral's name for it is "partial 16S ribosomal RNA". It matches the Rfam family "Bacterial small subunit ribosomal RNA", at positions 524 to 776 of the family's 1533-position model. The record is from RNAcentral.
UACGGGGGGGGCAAGCGUUGUUCGGAUUUACUGGGCGUAAAGCGCGUGUAGGCGGAUCGUUAAGUCGGGGGUGAAAGCCCAGAGCUCAACUCUGGAAUUGCCUUCGAUACUGGCGGUCUGGAGCAGAGAAGAGGCGAGUGGAAUUCCGAGUGUAGAGGUGAAAUUCGUAGAUAUUCGGAGGAACACCAGUGGCGAAGGCGGCUCGCUGGUCUCUUGCUGACGCUGAGACGCGAAAGCGUGGGGAGCAAACAGG